GACGAACGCUAGCGACGUGCCUAAGAAAUGCAAGUCGAGCGAGGUUUAGGAGCUUGCUCCGAAGACCUAGCGGCGAACGGUCGCGUAACACGUAAGCAACCUGCCCUAAAGUUUGGGAUAGCCCUCCGAAAGGGGGAUUAAUACCGGAUGUGGAUACUUUUUCGCUUGUGAGGAGAGUAUGCAAAUGCGUGAUGAGAGGGUCCUGCGGCCCAUCAGCUCGUUGGUAGGGUAACGGCCUACCAAGGCAACGACGGGUAGGGGGUCUGGGAGGAUGAUCCCCCACACUGGAACUGAAAC
RNAcentral lists this ribosomal RNA (297 nucleotides) under uncultured bacterium. RNAcentral describes it as "partial 16S ribosomal RNA". It matches the Rfam family "Bacterial small subunit ribosomal RNA", at positions 28 to 325 of the family's 1533-position model. The record is from RNAcentral.